Molecule: non-coding RNA, 686 nt
Organism: Arachis ipaensis
Lineage: Eukaryota; Viridiplantae; Streptophyta; Magnoliopsida; Fabales; Fabaceae
Source: RefSeq, a predicted model, not a curated record
AUAUAAACUGCAUGAUGAAUUUUCUAAUUUGCUUCAAGUUCCUUUCUAAUUUCAAUUAUAAAUUCUUUCCACUAUUUCCAUAACUUAGUUUGUCGUUCCAAGAUUGAGAGCCCGAUAAUUCUCCAUGUAGCUUCUAAUUCUGGGCAGGUUUUAAACUAAGCUCUAGAGAGACUUCUCCCUACUUCGGUCUGGUAGCUGGCUUGGAUGAGAGUGAAAGAGUUUGAAAGUAAAUGGGUAACUUGAGAAUACAGAAUAUUGGCAGUUCUUCUUUUUUGGCCAGGUCUUUCAUUAUUCUGAUUUGGUUCCCUCUUCCUAUGUAUGACCCAUAAAAUUUCUUUAUUUAGGACUUGCUUGCCAUCUAUUGAACUUCUCCGCCCCAAAAUGGGUUAGUGUUUGUCAUAACUUUUGGAAAAUAUAGAAUAUCUGAAAUAAUUGCUCUGCCAGACUUUGUGAACUAAUAGUGAGUUUUAGUUUGUAAUCUUCAUCCUUGUUUUUCCAAAAGAGUUAGAUUAAAAGCCUUUAAAUCCUUCGAAUUCAAUCCUCCAAGAAUUUUUUAUCUGCAAGCUAUAUUCCAAACAAUCCAUUGCAACUUUUCCUCUAUUCUUUUUUGUCCCUACUAAAACCUUAGAACAAUGCUCUGUACUUCAUUAAUUAAAGUAUAAAAAAAUUUAAAACAACUCAAAGUA